Molecule: ribosomal RNA, 497 nt
Filed under: uncultured bacterium
Lineage: Bacteria
Description: partial 16S ribosomal RNA
Rfam family: Bacterial small subunit ribosomal RNA
Source: RNAcentral
GAUGAACGCUGGCGGCGUGCCUAAUACAUGCAAGUCGAGCGAACAGACGAGGAGCUUGCUCCUCUGACGUUAGCGGCGGACGGGUGAGUAACACGUGGAUAACCUACCUAUAAGACUGGGAUAACUUCGGGAAACCGGAGCUAAUACCGGAUAACAUGUUGAACCGCAUGGUUCAACAGUGAAAGACGGUUUUGCUGUCACUUAUAGAUGGAUCCGCGUCGCAUUAGCUAGUUGGUAAGGUAACGGCUUACCAAGGCAACGAUGCGUAGCCGACCUGAGAAGGUAAUCGGCCACACUAGAACUGAGACACGGUCCAGACUCCUACGGGAGGCAGCAGUAGGGAAUCUUCCGCAAUGGGCGAAAGCCUGACGGAGCAACGCCGCGUGAGUGAAGAAGGUCUUCGGAUCGUAAAACUCUGUUAUUAGGGAAGAACAAAUGUGUAAGUAACUAUGCACGUCUUGACGGUACCUAAUCAGAAAGCCACGGCUAACUACGUG